CAGAAACAGGAAGAUCUGCACCUUUGAGUCCAACCUGAUCUACAGAGCGAGUUCUGGGACAGCCGGGGCCGCACAGAGAAACUCCCAUCUUGAUGGAGAAGACCCGGCUGAAGAGAUGGCUCUGUGGUUAAGCGCACAGGCUGUUCUCACAGAAGACUGGAGUUCAGUUGCCUGUGCUGGCCUGGUCUGUGCUUUGUAUUUGCUUGUUGAUUAUUUGGCCCCCUGAGGUCUGCUUGCGGUGUCUUAGGAGCAGCUGCUUGCUCAUGCAUCCCAAAAUGAUGUUUGUAAUCCUCGCCUCCAAAUUAUCACUGAUGGAGUGAAUAGGUGCCUACACACCUGAGCAGGACAGAAAUAAGGCAUGUAAACAGAGAGAGAGUCCUAAUGCCAAAUGUGAUGCCCUUGCCUGUGACUCUUGGGCUCUUGAUCACGUGAGCUCAGGGUUGAGAAGAGAAUAUCCUGAAAAACUUGACUCUGAAAAACUCAAGAAAGAGUAUCUAUAUUGUCAGCGCUGACUGAGGCAGGAGGACUGGAAGUCAAAAACCUGCCUGAGCUAUGUAGCUGGGUGUUGAAUUAAAUGACAUAUACAGCUGAGUUAUUCUGCCCGAUGGGUGCUGCAUCCCUUUAGUUCCAGCACCUGGGAGCGAGAGGCAGGGGGAUCUCUGGGAGUUCGAGGCCAGCCUGGUCUACAGAGCAAGUUCCAGGACAGCCAAGGCUACAUAGAGAAACCCUGUCUUGAAAAACCAAAAUCAACCAAACAAAAACAAAACAAAACUCUCAUCCCGAAACCUGAGUUAUCCUGGCAGAUGUCACCCUUUCCCGAGAAGUGCUGACGCUGACACAGAACCCAGGAGGAAUCUGAAGCUGUGUGUCUCGGGGUGUGGUCAUGGCAACCAGUUCCUGAAAGUCUGGCUUUUGAUUUUCCUCCUCUCAGAGUCACGGUUUGCUCAUCUCUGUUCUUCCACAAACAACGUUCCAUUCACAACAGUUACACGCCUGGCUGGUGGCUAGCCAUGGUUUCCUGGUUUGUCACUCGGACCCAUACAGCUCUCUCUCAUUGAAGAUGUCCUUCUGACCUUUAAGCUUUGGCUUGGUGCAGCUCACUCCCCACACUGUUCUGGAGGACACUGCCCUGCCUCCUCUCCUUCCAGGUGGAUCCUCUAGCAGAACGUGUGCUCUGUGUGUGCCCAUCCUGCCUGGCACACCGUGGCUAUUUAUUACAUGCUGUGUGAUGAGCAAGAGGAGCGAGUGCUUCCUAAACAACCCUGGCCACAUUCCAGCACUUUCUGACUAUUGUCUCAUGCCGCCCUGGGUGAGCUGGUUCUUGGGUAUUGAGACAAUGAAGAAACAGGACGUGACCUAUUGGGCAAGAUGAGGACCAAGGUGUGGAUGGGCACCCUGGACUCCCAGGCAGCUGCUCUGUGAAGUCCAAACUUAACCAGGAUCUCCAAAGCCGGAGUCCUUCUUGGUCUUAUCUGUGUUUCCAUCUAUGAGCGUCUCCCAGCCAUGCCCAGGGGUCCCCAUGCUGAGCAUGUCUGCUUGCUGAUGAAGGCUUUCAGAACAGGAGGUACAUACUUCCUGGAUGAACUGACCAGAUCUGACCUUGACAAGCAUAAGGGUUACACAACCAGCAGUGCUAUGACAAUUAUGUUAAGUGUGUUUGAAUGCCUACAAAUCCCCCUACGUUUCUUCUUGGGAAACAAGGCCACUAGCUGGAGCUUCUGGGUUAGAUUUCUAGAAUGGCCUCUGCUGAUUGGAAAGGCUUCUCAGAUGAUGGUCUUGGUGCUGUCUUGACCUAACCAUCUUACAGAAUUUUGAGAAUUUAUUUAUUUAUCGUGUGUAUGGGUGUUUUGCCUGCAUGGGUGUGUACCCGGUGCCCAUAUUGUUCAGAAGAGGAAUUCCCUGGAAUUGGUGUUGGGACCUGAACCCAGGUCCUCUGCGAGAGGAACACACAUUCUCAACUGCUGGACCAUCUCUCCCAUCCCCAUUUGACGUAUUUGAUUAAAUGGUAGCUAUUACGAGGUAGGGGAAAGAAUGACUAGGACUCCCUUCAUCUGACACAAGCCCUCCUGGGGCCCUGUCCCUAGGGUCUUAAGGAACAAAGUAGCUGCACAUAUGGUCAUCUGUCUGGGAAGCCCAUAGUGGUACCCAAGCCUGUGGCUGUUGCUGGGCCCUGGGCCUGGAGACACAGGAAAGUGCAGGACAGGGAGCUUGCCUUCUGUGAGACCUGUGGCCUUGGGUGCUUUGAGCCUCUGCUUUCCCCUCUAUGAAGUCUUGGCUAACAGCAGAACCUAGCUUAUCUAUUCAUAGGCUGUUAUUAAAACUAAAAGAGAGAGAGUGUGUGUGAAAGCUGUAGUCGCAUACAAAAAUAGCACAAUGUUAUAGUUAAUGAUGCUGUAAGAAAAACAUUAUUUUUAGCUGAUGUACCACUUCAAGUCGCCUGCCCUGAUGCCUGUGGUUCUUGGCUCAUGGUGCUUCGGCUCCAGUAGGACACUCUUAGCCUUUCUACUGACAGCAUAGUCAUAUGUUUUCAGGCUGGGUGACCACAAUGGGCAGUGGUACAUGAGCCGCUGGACAAGGCACUCCAAGAAAUUGUGUGUGGCUAUCUGGAUGAAACCUGCCUUCUAUUUCUGUUGUUUUCUGAGACAAGGUGCCAAUACAGAGCCCAGCCUGACCUGCCUCUGCCCCCUGAGGGCCAGAGUAAAGGCCAGGCAAGAGAUAGGACCUCAGCCAACAUGGUACUAGGGCUGAACUCGGACCUCAGCCAGUGUGGUACCAGGGUGAGAAAUUACCUCUGUAAUUUCUUCCCGGCUUAGCUGGUUUCCUGGGCUGGGAUCUGAGAUGACCCUGGACUGAGGAAUUUCUAUGGAUUUUGAGAGUAAAUACUCUGGGGGGGGGGGGGGACACAAGACCACUGAAGGAAGGUGGGCACUGCCUAGAAGGAGGGAUUCCGGCUGAGGCCUCGAAGCUUGUGAGAAUACAGAGGAACCUAUUGUUUCAUUCCUCAGUCUGGAACUACACUUAACUACUGACCACAGCUGAACUGUGACCAAUUCUCAGAUCAACGGCAGAUGCUGGAGCAAGGGAAAUAAUGCAUUUUGUCUGGAGUAAGUAAGGUUAUAUAAACCUGCCUUCCUCCUCAAGUGUCUCCUAGGAAGACAGCAGGGUGAUUCAUGUGGUAACCUGGCUGACGCUGGGCCUGUCAGAUCAUCUAAGAACCUAAACCAAGAAUGUUCCACACAGAGUCCCGAACACAGGGAGCUCUGCUCUGGAAGUGACAGGGUGCUGUCAAGUCACUGGAGGGUACCUCUUUAAGAAUUAGGGAGAAGAUCAAGAAGAUCGGGGUGGGGGGAAGCAGAAUAAAUCAUUUCCA
This is a long non-coding RNA of Psammomys obesus (fat sand rat), 3370 nucleotides long. RefSeq lists it as uncharacterized. The transcript has 3 exons. The record is from RefSeq and is a predicted model, not a curated record. Lineage: Eukaryota; Metazoa; Chordata; Mammalia; Rodentia; Muridae.